Molecule: long non-coding RNA, 455 nt
Organism: Zea mays
Lineage: Eukaryota; Viridiplantae; Streptophyta; Magnoliopsida; Poales; Poaceae
Exons: 3
Source: RefSeq, a predicted model, not a curated record
AGACGCCCCCCCGUAAAACUGGUGAACCAUUCGGAUAUGCAGAGUUUCGUAGCCGUUCAGAAACGUGUUACGUCAUUGCUCCAGAACGGCCUGCUUCUGCCGUUUUCAACAUAUAUGUGCCUCGUAUCAAGAAUUUGAUUGGACACAAGUUGCAAUGUUUGCCCUCCCAGCAGCGUCCAAUGUUUCAAUCAUUGUUUGAUGCUCAUGACAAAGAGGUGGAUAAAUACUGUGAUUCCCUACAGUCGAGCCAUCAGAUGAUUGUUUCGAAGCAGAUUGAACUCUCUGAAACAUUUGGUGAAAUGAUAGAUGAAGUUUUGAGAGCUGCAACGCAGCGCGAUUCACAGCCACAAGAGAACCCCCCCACUACCUCAAUGCCUCCAACAAAUGAUCCUGUAUCCACACCAACUGUUCCAACACCUGAUAAACAACAACAUGAUCAGGAAAGCCAUGUUCCU